This 253-nucleotide ribosomal RNA is filed under the name uncultured bacterium. RNAcentral describes it as "partial 16S ribosomal RNA". It matches the Rfam family "Bacterial small subunit ribosomal RNA", at positions 524 to 776 of the family's 1533-position model. The record is from RNAcentral.
UACGAAGGGGGCUAGCGUUGUUCGGAUUUACUGGGCGUAAAGCGCACGUAGGCGGAUUGUUAAGUCAGGGGUGAAAUCCUGGAGCUCAACUCCAGAACUGCCUUUGAUACUGGCAAUCUUGAGUCCGGAAGAGGUGAGUGGAACUCCUAGUGUAGAGGUGAAAUUCGUAGAUAUUCGGAGGAACACCAGUGGCGAAGGCGGCUUACUGGUCCAUUACUGACGCUGAGGUGCGAAAGCGUGGGGAGCAAACAGG